GCACUGAGUUAGUUGGCUGUUCCUCACGAGAGAUAAGAUCGUCCUUUCGAAAAAGGAGUUUCCUCCCGGGCAACAAGUAGUUUACACCCCGAAAGGCGUCAUCCUACACGCGGCGUUCGCUGCGUCAGACUUUCGUCCAUUGCGCAAUAUUCCCCA
RNAcentral lists this ribosomal RNA (156 nucleotides) under uncultured bacterium. RNAcentral's name for it is "partial 16S ribosomal RNA". The record is from RNAcentral.